This 326-nucleotide ribosomal RNA is filed under the name uncultured eukaryote. RNAcentral describes it as "partial 18S ribosomal RNA". It matches the Rfam family "Eukaryotic small subunit ribosomal RNA", at positions 1470 to 1796 of the family's 1831-position model. The record is from RNAcentral.
CCCUUAGAUGUUCUGGGCCGCACACGCGCUACACUGAAGGAGGCAGCGUGUACUCCUGGAUCGAAAGAUUUGGGUAACCCGCGAAUCUCCUUCGUGCUAGGGAUUGAGGUUUGCAAUUAUCCUUCAUGAACGAGGAAUUCCCAGUAAGUGCAAGUCAUAAGCUUGCGCUGACUACGUCCCUGCCCUUUGUACACACCGCCCGUCGCUACUACCGAUUGAAUGAUCCGAUGAAUACCAUGGAUUGAGAGUACGAAUAGGUUCGCUUAUUUCUGCUGCUCGAGAAGUGGAGUAAAGCUUAUCAUUUAGAGGAAGGAGAANUCGUAGCA